This 302-nucleotide ribosomal RNA is filed under the name uncultured bacterium. RNAcentral describes it as "partial 16S ribosomal RNA". It matches the Rfam family "Bacterial small subunit ribosomal RNA", at positions 508 to 809 of the family's 1533-position model. The record is from RNAcentral.
GCAGUAGCCGCGGUAAUACGUAGGUGGCAAGCGUUGUCCGGAAUUAUUGGGCGUAAAGGGCUCGCAGGCGGUUUCUUAAGUCUGAUGUGAAAGCCCCCGGCUCAACCGGGGAGGGUCAUUGGAAACUGGGAAACUUGAGUGCAGAAGAGGAGAGUGGAAUUCCACGUGUAGCGGUGAAAUGCGUAGAGAUGUGGAGGAACACCAGUGGCGAAGGCGACUCUCUGGUCUGUAACUGACGCUGAGGAGCGAAAGCGUGGGGAGCGAACAGGAUUAGAUACCCCAGUAGUCCCUGUCUCUUAUAA